RNAcentral lists this ribosomal RNA (459 nucleotides) under uncultured bacterium. RNAcentral's name for it is "partial 16S ribosomal RNA". It matches the Rfam family "Bacterial small subunit ribosomal RNA", at positions 338 to 795 of the family's 1533-position model. The record is from RNAcentral.
CCUACGGGUGGCAGCAGUGAGGAAUAUUGGUCAAUGGACGAGAGUCUGAACCAGCCAAGUAGCGUGAAGGAUGACUGCCCUAUGGGUUGUAAACUUCUUUUAUAAAGGACUAAAACGAGGCACGUGUGCCUUUUUGCAUGUACUUUUGAAUCAGGAUCGGCUAAAUCCGUGCCAGCAGCCGCGGUCAUACGGAGGUACCGAGUUGUAACCGGAUUUAUUGGGUUUAAAGGGAGCGUAGAUGGGUUGUUAAGUCAGUUGUGAAAGUUUGCGGCUCAACCGUAAAAGUGCAAUUGAUACUGGCAGUCUUGAGUACAGUUGAGGUAGGCGGAAUUCGUGGUGUAGCGGUGAAAUGCUUAGAUAUCACGAAGAACCCCGAUUGCGAAGGCAGCUUACUAAACUGUGACUGACAUUGAUGCUCGAAAGUGUGGGUAUCAAACAGGAUUAGAUACCCGAGUAGUC